GAUGAAGAACGCAGCGAAAUGCGAUACUUGGUGUGAAUUGCAGAAUCCCGUGAACCAUCGAGUCUUUGAACGCAAGUUGCGCCCGAAGCCAUUAGGCCGAGGGCACGCCUGCCUGGGCGUCACACGUCGUUGCCCCCCCAUCUACUCCUUCGGGAUUGCGGGGGGCGGAUGAUGGCCUCCCGUGCGCCUCGUCGCGCGGUUGGCAUAAAUACCAAGUCCUCGGCGACGCACGCCACGACAAUCGGUGGUUGCGAAACCUCGGUUGCCCGUCGUGUGCGGUCGUCGCGCAUCGAGGGCUCGAAAAAAUUGCCGGGCUCCGGCUCGGCUUUCAACGCGACCCCAGGUCAGGCGGGGUUACCCGCUGAAUUUAAGCAUAUCAAUAAGCGGAGA
Molecule: unclassified non-coding RNA, 390 nt
Filed under: soil metagenome
Description: partial contains 5.8S ribosomal RNA, internal transcribed spacer 2, and large subunit ribosomal RNA
Rfam family: 5.8S ribosomal RNA (bases 1-122)
Source: RNAcentral